Molecule: transfer RNA, 74 nt
Filed under: Phrynosoma platyrhinos (Desert horned lizard)
Lineage: Eukaryota; Metazoa; Chordata; Lepidosauria; Squamata; Phrynosomatidae
Description: tRNA-OTHER
Source: RNAcentral
GUCCCAAUGUGGCAUAGUGGUUUGAAUGCUGGACUAUGACUCUGGAGACCAAGGUUCGAUUCCCAGUUUGGCCA